CUUAGACUAGUAUACUAUAUGGUAUUUUGACCUCUCAAUUCAGAUGUGUCCAAACACGUCUAGAUCGAGAGGUUGAUCUCCCAUACGGUUGUCGACAUUUCGAUCCAAACAACACAAACCAUUCUCAGAGGAAUGUGCCUGACAAUGAUAAUUACUUGAACAAUGGACAUAAUUAAAACUGUAGUAUAACAUAAGGUCAAGAUUAUGCCAGAGGUCCAAUACUAUUCACAACCCAACUCAAGACCCACCACAUAUAAGUAUAAAUGUAUAAGGGGCAAGUAAAGUUAGUUAGAAAGUAUUGCUUUUAUUGCUACCUCAAACAUGUACACCUGAUUUGAGCAUCAAAGUAUUCCUGGAGGCAUCCACUCUCACCUAGCACUGAGAUGACCGAACAGAAAAGAUCUAAUAUUCAAAAAGCAGUCGAGGACGAGACUGACAAAAAAAAAUCGAAACAAUCAUUAUUAGCACGUUCCAGAAGAUGCAAAUUGAGUAUUUGAAACAUUGUGUUCUACAACAAAAAUUACCAAGUAUCUUCCUUGUCAUACAUUAAUGAGGAGAUUUUUAAACUCUUCAUAUGUUGUUUCAAAAAUGAUUUUGCAUAAUAGGAGAAAAGGAUGGUUAGAAUAGAAGGGUGGUGGCAUGUGAGGAGGCAUACAAAGAAACUAGACUCACGUCUACACGAUUUCAUAAUUAUUGUGUUGGUAAGUCGCAGGAUUUGGUAAAUUGGUUUGGUUUGUACUCCAAAUGGAAUACCCAUCUGAUAUCAUAAUAACUUGGAGAUUCCACUACAUUAGUUUAUUUCACUUUUGAGUCACCAACGAAAGAAACUC
Molecule: long non-coding RNA, 830 nt
Filed under: Phaseolus vulgaris (common bean)
Lineage: Eukaryota; Viridiplantae; Streptophyta; Magnoliopsida; Fabales; Fabaceae
Description: long non-coding RNA (PVUL_LNC003949)
Source: RNAcentral